UUAGUACUAAAAGUUUUCUUUUCAGGUACCAUGUCCACCAGACUAGGAUCAGGAGUUUACAAGAGGAGGCCGACCGAUGGUUCCUCUUCUUCUCGAUCGUCAGGCGCUGCACCGACCAGUUUAGGCCAAAUUAGACUACCGCAGCGCCAUCGAUUCCUACUUUUCCAAGGGCAGCCCACCUUUGAGCAGAGAUAUCAAUC
Molecule: long non-coding RNA, 200 nt
Filed under: Ricinus communis (castor bean)
Lineage: Eukaryota; Viridiplantae; Streptophyta; Magnoliopsida; Malpighiales; Euphorbiaceae
Description: long non-coding RNA (RCOM_LNC000426)
Source: RNAcentral